GUGCCAGCAGCCGCGGUAAUACGAAGGGGGCUAGCGUUGCUCGGAAUGACUGGGCGUAAAGGGCGCGUAGGCGGUUUGGUUUGUUAGGUGUGAAAUUCCUGGGCUUAACCUGGGGGCUGCACUUAAGACGGCCAGGCUUGAGUGUGAAAGAGGGUCGUGGAAUUCCCAGUGUAGAGGUGAAAUUCGUAGAUAUUGGGAAGAACACCGGUGGCGAAGGCGGCGACCUGGUUCAUUACUGACGCUGAGGCGCGAAAGCGUGGGGAGCAAACAGGAUUAGAAACCCUGGUAGUCC
This 292-nucleotide ribosomal RNA is filed under the name uncultured bacterium. Its description in RNAcentral is "partial 16S ribosomal RNA". It matches the Rfam family "Bacterial small subunit ribosomal RNA", at positions 505 to 796 of the family's 1533-position model. The record is from RNAcentral.